UACAGAGAUGACAACCGUUAUUCGGAAUCACUGGGCUUAAAGGGCACGUAGGCGGUGAGUUAAGUUGGCUGUGAAAUCUCAUGUUUUAAGCAUGGAACGUCAGCCAAUACUGGCUUGCUUGAGGAUGGCAGAGGAGAGUGGAAUUCCUGGUGGAGCGGUGAAAUGCGUUGAUAUCAGGAGGAACACCGGAGGCGAAGGCGACUCUCUGGGCCAUACCUGACGCUGAGGUGCGAAAGCUAGGGGAG
RNAcentral lists this ribosomal RNA (245 nucleotides) under uncultured bacterium. RNAcentral describes it as "partial 16S ribosomal RNA". It matches the Rfam family "Bacterial small subunit ribosomal RNA", at positions 524 to 768 of the family's 1533-position model. The record is from RNAcentral.